UACAGAGGUGGCAAGCGUUGUUCGGAAUUACUGGGCGUAAAGCGUGCGCAGGCGGCUUUGCAAGACAGAUGUGAAAUCCCCGGGCUUAACCUGGGAACUGCAUUUGUGACUGCAUGGCUAGAGUGCGGCAGAGGGGGAUGGAAUUCCGCGUGUAGCAGUGAAAUGCGUAGAUAUGCGGAGGAACACCGAUGGCGAAGGCAAUCCCCUGGGCCUGCACUGACGCUCAUGCACGAAAGCGUGGGGAGCAAACAGG
RNAcentral lists this ribosomal RNA (253 nucleotides) under uncultured bacterium. RNAcentral describes it as "partial 16S ribosomal RNA". It matches the Rfam family "Bacterial small subunit ribosomal RNA", at positions 524 to 776 of the family's 1533-position model. The record is from RNAcentral.